This 497-nucleotide ribosomal RNA is filed under the name uncultured bacterium. RNAcentral's name for it is "partial 16S ribosomal RNA". It matches the Rfam family "Bacterial small subunit ribosomal RNA", at positions 28 to 507 of the family's 1533-position model. The record is from RNAcentral.
GAUGAACGCUGGCGGCGUGCCUAAUACAUGCAAGUCGAGCGAACGGACGAGAAGCUUGCUUCUCUGGUGUUAGCGGCGGACGGGUGAGUAACACGUGGAUAACCUACCUAUAAGACUGGGAUAACUUCGGGAAACCGGAGCUAAUACCGGAUGAUAUUUUGAACCGCAUGGUUCAAAAGUGAAAGACGGUCUUGCUGUCACUUAUAGAUGGAUCCGCGCUGCAUUAGCUAGUUGGUAAGGUAACGGCUUACCAAGGCAACGAUGCAUAGCCGACCUGAGAGGGUGAUCGGCCACACUGGAACUGAGACACGGUCCAGACUCCUACGGGAGGCAGCAGUAGGGAAUCUUCCGCAAAGGGCGAAAGCCUGACGGAGCAACGCCGCGUGAGUGAUGAAGGUCUUCGGAUCGUAAAACUCUGUUAUUAGGGAAGAACAUAUGUGUAAGUAACUGUGCACAUCUUGACGGUACCUAAUCAGAAAGCCACGGCUAACUACGUG